This 604-nucleotide ribosomal RNA is filed under the name Brevibacterium sp. DNRB50. RNAcentral describes it as "bacterial SSU rRNA". It matches the Rfam family "Bacterial small subunit ribosomal RNA", at positions 76 to 698 of the family's 1533-position model. The record is from RNAcentral. Lineage: Bacteria; Bacillati; Actinomycetota; Actinomycetes; Micrococcales; Brevibacteriaceae.
CUUGCUUUGGGUGGAUGAGUGGCGAACGGGUGAGUAACACGUGAGUAACCUGCCCCUGAUUUCGGGAUAAGCCUGGGAAACUGGGUCUAAUACCGGAUAUGACCAUCGGACGCAUGUUGGGUGGUGGAAAGUUUUUCGAUCGGGGAUGGGCUCGCGGCCUAUCAGCUUGUUGGUGGGGUAAUGGCCUACCAAGGCGACGACGGGUAGCCGGCCUGAGAGGGCGACCGGCCACACUGGGACUGAGACACGGCCCAGACUCCUACGGGAGGCAGCAGUGGGGAAUAUUGCACAAUGGGGGAAACCCUGAUGCAGCGACGCAGCGUGCGGGAUGACGCCUUCGGGUUGUAAACCGCUUUCAGCAGGGAAGAAGCCGUAAGGUGACGGUACCUGCAGAAGAAGUACCGCUAACUACGUGCCAGCAGCCGCGGUAAUACGUAGGGUACGAGCGUUGUCCGGAAUUAUUGGGCGUAAAAGCUCGUAGGUGGUUGGUCACGUCUGCUGUGGAAACGCAACGCUUAACGUUGCGCGUGCAGUGGGUACGGCUGACUAGAGUGCAGUAGGGGAGUCUGGAAUUCCUGGUGUAGCGGUGAAAUGCGCAGAUAUC